Molecule: long non-coding RNA, 741 nt
Organism: Setaria italica (foxtail millet)
Lineage: Eukaryota; Viridiplantae; Streptophyta; Magnoliopsida; Poales; Poaceae
Exons: 2
Source: RefSeq, a predicted model, not a curated record
GGCACGCCAGAGAUCAGAACACAAGCUCAGCACAGGACCACCUGUAAGCUAAGCCAGGAAAAGGGCAAGGAAGAAGAAGAUGAGCAGCGGCGGUGGCCGGAGCUCCCUCGGCUACCUCUUCCAGCCGGAGGAAACAAGUCCGUAUCACACGACGGCCAAAUCCAACCAGGAAACCGAGAAGACUACUCCAGAUACCAACAGCAGCAGUGUCAAGGAUGACAACAAGAUGAUCGGAGCUGGAGCCGAUAAAGAACCACCACAGCUUCCUCCACCGAAUAGAGAAGUCUCGAACCCGAUACUCUCGUCUAACAGAUCUCCUUGCAACAUCUACCAUACCAGCCAGCUAAGCUACAACAACUCUGGAUUUCUUAUCACUGACCGACCAUCGACGAGGGUACGCUGUGCACCAGGAGGGCCGUCGUCGCUUGGGUUUCUGUUCGGAGAGGAGCAUGAGAAGUGAUAGAUCUCGUCAGUGCUAAUCUACAAGAGAGUAUGGCUGCAUGUGUAUGCACCGAUUUUCUUGGAUUUCAUCAGAAUACUGGAAAGGCGAUCUGAUUUACAUAGGGUGGCUGUGGCAUGCGUCUUCUUUUUAUGUUUGCGCGGUCUGUGUGUAUAUUUAUGUUUGUUAUUAUUUAUUUGGUAAUGCGGUGUUGAAAGGAUGUUUCAAAUUUGUCAUAUAAAAUCGUUGCUGCCCGAGCAUAAGUUAUAUGGAAAUUUGAGUUAAAGGUGGACAUUCAAAUA